Molecule: non-coding RNA, 95 nt
Filed under: Trichlorobacter lovleyi SZ
Lineage: Bacteria; Pseudomonadati; Thermodesulfobacteriota; Desulfuromonadia; Geobacterales; Geobacteraceae
Description: pan motif
Rfam family: pan motif
Source: RNAcentral
UGACAGCCACCCGUUUGGGGGCUGAUCAGUAGCUGUAGUACCAUAGAAAGACAUACCGCCCGGAUUUGUUGUUCUGUACAAACCGGGACGGACGG